UACGUAGGGGGCAAGCGUUAUCCGGAAUCACUGGGCGUAAAGGGUGCGUAGGCGGCCUGUCAAGUCAGAGGUGAAAGGCAAUGGCUUAACCAUUGUAAGCCUUUGAAACUGAUGGGCUUGAGUGCAGGAGAGGUAAGUGGAAUUCCUAGUGUAGCGGUGAAAUGCGUAGAUAUUAGGAGGAACACCAGUGGCGAAGGCGACUUACUGGACUGUAACUGACGCUGAGGCACGAAAGCGUGGGGAGCGAACAGG
This 252-nucleotide ribosomal RNA is filed under the name uncultured bacterium. RNAcentral describes it as "partial 16S ribosomal RNA". It matches the Rfam family "Bacterial small subunit ribosomal RNA", at positions 524 to 776 of the family's 1533-position model. The record is from RNAcentral.